CAGUAGCCGCGGGAAUACGUAGGGUGCGAGCGUUAGUCGGAAUUACUGGGCGUAAAGCGUGCGCAGGCGGUUAUAUAAGUCAGAUGUGAAAUCCCCGGGCUCAACCUGGGAACUGCAUUUGAGACUGUAUGGCUAGAGUGUGUCAGAGGGGGGUAGAAUUCCACGUGUAGCAGUGAAAUGCGUAGAUAUGUGGAGGAAUACCGAUGGCGAAGGCAGCCCCCUGGGAUAACACUGACGCUCAUGCACGAAAGCGUGGGGAGCAAACAGGAUUAGAUACCCGUGUAGUCCCUGUCUCUUAUAC
RNAcentral lists this ribosomal RNA (301 nucleotides) under uncultured bacterium. RNAcentral's name for it is "partial 16S ribosomal RNA". It matches the Rfam family "Bacterial small subunit ribosomal RNA", at positions 509 to 807 of the family's 1533-position model. The record is from RNAcentral.